GAUGAACGCUAGCGGGAGGCUUAACACAUGCAAGUCGAGGGGCAGCAUAGGGUAGCAAUACUCUGAUGGCGACCGGCAAACGGGUGAGUAACGCGUAUGCAACCUACCCUGUACAGGGGGAUAACCCGGAGAAAUUCGGGCUAAUAUCCCGUAAUAAUAUCCGGAGGCAUCUUUGGAUAUUUAAAGUUCCGACGGUACGGGAUGGGCAUGCGUAACAUUAACUGGUUGGUAAGGUAACGGCUUACCAAGGCUAUGAUGUUUAGGGGUCCUGAGAGGGUGGUCCCCCACACUGGUACUGAGACACGGACCAGACUCCUACGGGAGGCAGCAGUGAGGAAUAUUGGUCAAUGGGCGCAAGCCUGAACCAGCCAUCCCGCGUGCAGGAAGACGGCCCUAUGGGUUGUAAACUGCUUUUGCCAGGGGAUAAAAGACCAUGCGUGGUCAAUUGAAGGUACCUGGUGAAUAAGCCACGGCUAACUACGUG
This 484-nucleotide ribosomal RNA is filed under the name uncultured bacterium. RNAcentral describes it as "bacterial SSU rRNA". It matches the Rfam family "Bacterial small subunit ribosomal RNA", at positions 28 to 507 of the family's 1533-position model. The record is from RNAcentral.